RNAcentral lists this ribosomal RNA (790 nucleotides) under soil bacterium SI02. RNAcentral's name for it is "bacterial SSU rRNA". It matches the Rfam family "Bacterial small subunit ribosomal RNA", at positions 43 to 849 of the family's 1533-position model. The record is from RNAcentral.
CGUGCUUAAACAUGCAAGUCGAACGAUGAACCACUUCGGUGGGGAUUAGUGGCGAACGGGUGAGUAACACGUGGGCAAUCUGCCCUUCACUCUGGGACAAGCCCUGGAAACGGGGUCUAAUACCGGAUACCACUUCCACUCGCAUGGGUGGGGGUUGAAAGCUCCGGCGGUGAAGGAUGAGCCCGCGGCCUAUCAGCUUGUUGGUGAGGUAAUGGCUCACCAAGGCGACGACGGGUAGCCGGCCUGAGAGGGCGACCGGCCACACUGGGACUGAGACACGGCCCAGACUCCUACGGGAGGCAGCAGUGGGGAAUAUUGCACAAUGGGCGAAAGCCUGAUGCAGCGACGCCGCGUGAGGGAUGACGGCCUUCGGGUUGUAAACCUCUUUCAGCAGGGAAGAAGCGAAAGUGACGGUACCUGCAGAAGAAGCGCCGGCUAACUACGUGCCAGCAGCCGCGGUAAUACGUAGGGCGCAAGCGUUGUCCGGAAUUAUUGGGCGUAAAGAGCUCGUAGGCGGCUUGUCACGUCGGGUGUGAAAGCCCGGGGCUUAACCCCGGGUCUGCAUUCGAUACGGGCUAGCUAGAGUGUGGUAGGGGAGAUCGGAAUUCCUGGUGUAGCGGUGAAAUGCGCAGAUAUCAGGAGGAACACCGGUGGCGAAGGCGGAUCUCUGGGCCAUUACUGACGCUGAGGAGCGAAAGCGUGGGGAGCGAACAGGAUUAGAUACCCUGGUAGUCCACGCCGUAAACGGUGGGAACUAGGUGUUGGCGACAUUCCACGUCGUCGGUGCCGC